CAAGUUAACUUUUGUUCUGUUUCUGUCAUGAUGGGUACCAGUUUCUUAAUCCACAUGCAGAACACCGGGAGAACGGGACAUCAGAUAAAUAAAGUUUAUUGAACAAUAUGAAAAGGCUGGUGAAAGGGUCUGGUCCUUGGAAGGGCACACGGGAUCGUCUGCACACUGAAGAGCAGCAAAGGAAGAUGGAGGCGAUGGCUACCUGACAGCAUCAGGAUUCCAAAUUAGAAGAUUUUGAGUGCUGCUAAAGUCAUGCUUCUCGGUGUACAAGAGGAGCAAAUGCACCAGAGAAGCACCAUCUUUGACAGUAUCGCCAUUAAUGUGUUUCGUUGGCUUAUCUUCUCUUCACCUGAUCUCGGUUUCGCCCGUGUACGUCUGGGAACGAAGCCGGUUUUCAUCUCCGGAGCUCAUUGCCGUGCUGCUGCCGACAUCCUUUGCUUUUCCCUCUGGAUUUAUGUUUGGACUCUUAUUGGAUUUUCUGGCCUGCAGCCCCGUUCCUUAUUAAUUCAUUUGUUACAGUGUUUGUUCUUUGUUUACCCGGCUCCUGUGUGCUCUCGUUAGUGUCCUUAAUUAAACUCAAGUCUGACAAAUCGCUGCAUUUUCCUGUUUAGUUCGUCCUCAUUCCCCCGUCUUUAGAACCCUUCUACUAUACAGUCCA
This is a long non-coding RNA of Gambusia affinis (western mosquitofish), 658 nucleotides long. RefSeq lists it as uncharacterized. The record is from RefSeq and is a predicted model, not a curated record. NCBI's taxonomy places the organism in Eukaryota, Metazoa, Chordata, Actinopteri, Cyprinodontiformes, Poeciliidae. The transcript is spliced from 3 exons.